Molecule: ribosomal RNA, 355 nt
Filed under: uncultured Pelotomaculum sp.
Lineage: Bacteria; Bacillati; Bacillota; Clostridia; Eubacteriales; Desulfotomaculaceae
Description: bacterial SSU rRNA
Rfam family: Bacterial small subunit ribosomal RNA
Source: RNAcentral
AGGGAGACAGGUGGUGCAUGGUUGUCGUCAGCUCGUGUCGUGAGAUGUUGGGUUAAGUCCCGCAACGAGCGCAACCCCUACGUUUAGUUGCUUAACGCGUGAAGGCGAGCACUCUAGACGAGCUGCCGUUGACAAAACGGAGGAAGGUGGGGAUGACGUCAAAUCAUCAUGCCCUUAUGUUCUGGGCUACACACGUGCUACAAUGGCCGGUACAGACGGACGCAAAGCCGCGAGGUGGAGCAAAUCCUAAAAAGCCGGUCUCAGUUCGGAUUGCAGGCUGCAAUUCGCCUGCAUGAAGUCGGAAUCGCUAGUAAUCGCAGGUCAGCAUACUGCGGUGAAUACGUUCCCGGGCCUU